AUGAACGCUGGCGGCGUGCCUAAUACAUGCAAGUCGAGCGAACAGAUGAGGAGCUUGCUCCUCUGACGUUAGCGGCGGACGGGUGAGUAACACGUGGAUAACCUACCUAUAAGACUGGGAUAACUUCGGGAAACCGGAGCUAAUACCGGAUAAUAUAUUGAACCGCAUGGUUCAAUAGUGAAAGACGGUUUUGCUGUCACUUAUAGCUGGAUCCGCGCCGCAUUAGCUAGUUGGUAAGGUAACGGCUUACCAAGGCGACGAUGCGUAGCCGACCUGAGAGGGUGAUCGGCCACACUGGAACUGAGACACGGUCCAGACUCCUACGGGAGGCAGCAGUAGGGAAUCUUCCGCAAUGGGCGAAAGCUUGACGGAGCAACGCCGCGUGAGUGAUGAAGGUCUUCGGAUCGUAAAACUCUGUUAUUAGGGAAGAACAAAUGUGUAAGUAACUAUGCACGUCUUGACGGUACCUAAUCAGAAAGCCACGGCUAACUACGUG
Molecule: ribosomal RNA, 496 nt
Filed under: uncultured bacterium
Lineage: Bacteria
Description: partial 16S ribosomal RNA
Rfam family: Bacterial small subunit ribosomal RNA
Source: RNAcentral